ACAAGGUUUCCGUAGGUGAACCUGCGGAAGGAUCAUUGUCGCCACAAAUCAAAUCGAACCGCGAACACGUACUGAAAAUCUCGGGUUUGGUGAAGCGGCCUUGUGCCUGUGAAUCCUACGCCCUGCCAACGGAUUUUUAUUGAAGUCUCUAACGGGGCCUUGAAGAAGUCUUGCUGGCAACAUAACAAACCCCGGCACGGAAUGUGCCAAGGAACAACAAACUAAAGAAGGGUGUGGCAUGCGUCACGUUUCGGCAUCCGAUUCGUGCCCGUGUCCUCUACCCUCUGAAAAUCACAAACGACUCUCGGCAACGGAUAUCUCGGCUCACGCAUCGAUGAAGAACGUAGCAAAAUGCGAUACUUGGUGUGAAUUGCAGAAUCCCGUGAACCAUCGAGUUUUUGAACGCAAGUUGCGCCCGAAGCCAUUCGGUCGAGGGCACGUCUGCCUGGGCGUCACGCAUCGCGUCGCCUCCCCCAUCGCAUGUCGAAAUGUCGGCAUGUUGUUCGGGGGGCGGAGAUUGGUCUCCCAUGCCCUCGUGCAUGGUUGGCCCAAAACUAUGGCCUCUUUGAUCGGCACACGGCUGUUGGUGGUUGGAAAGACCUUCGUCUGGAGUCGUGCUGCAAGUCACAGUUAAAGGGCCUUGCUAAGAACCCUGACGCAUCGUGAUUCGGUGCUUCGGACGCGACCCCAGGUCAGGCGGGACUACCCGCUGAGUUUAAGCA
This 722-nucleotide ribosomal RNA is filed under the name Pseudelephantopus spicatus. Its description in RNAcentral is "eukaryotic LSU rRNA". The stretch from base 300 to 455 matches the Rfam family "5.8S ribosomal RNA". Lineage: Eukaryota; Viridiplantae; Streptophyta; Magnoliopsida; Asterales; Asteraceae. The record is from RNAcentral.